This is a long non-coding RNA of Oreochromis aureus, 873 nucleotides long. Lineage: Eukaryota; Metazoa; Chordata; Actinopteri; Cichliformes; Cichlidae. The record is from Ensembl.
CUGGUUAUCAGCUACCUUUCAUGUUAAAAGUAGCCAAAGUGAGUAAACAGGCGAAUGCUGCAUUUUUCUGGCGACUUUAGAAAGUACCGCGUGGAGCUAAACUGUUAGCCUUCAUUAGCUCUAGUUGUUAUCAACUGCCUGAAAGUUCAUCUCAUUCUGCUUCCAGAAGUAAGGUCAGGGUUUUUUUUGUAUGCUGAAUUGUUCCUGAGGUGGAUUCCUCCGGUGAAAUAGAUGGCGAGCCUUCCCACCUGGACUUAGAGAGACUGAGAUUCGCUUCUUUUCCACUAAAUGAUCUGCUGCACCUUGCGGUGUGGUAGGACUGUAUCACUCACACUUUCACACACAGCUGGUUAUACAUAAGACCACUGACUGACAUUCUCUCACCCCUAUUUUCUUUCACACCCUGGGAAUUUUUUGGACUAUACCCCUUGGACAUUUUUUAUUUGGGACUUUAAAUAAUAAGCUGUUGUGUAGAACAUUCUCCACAUGUGAAAAGAGUGUGAGAUUUUCAUUUGAAUGUACAUUGGAUUUGUGUAAUCUGUUUCUAUAAGAGUUAAGGAGUCAGAUUACUAGGGUGCACCCGAGCAUUGAAACCCGAGCUUUGAAACCCAACAUUGAAAACCAAAAGUAACACUUGGCCAAGUCAUUAUUUUAGCAGUUUAUGUGUUUUACUUUUCUUUCAUUUUUGUAAGUUUCCUUUCUGCAAUUGUAAAGUGCCUUUAACCUGUGCUUGACAACCUUAUAGUUUAUUUCACUAAAGUCGGCUGGUUCUUUUGAGUUACAUUCAUGUCUCUGUGUCUCAUUUAAACACACCCCUGUGCUCCUAUAGUCGAACCUAUUGGCCCAUUUAUAUAUUCUUUUCAACAAUUCCCC